AACAUACCUGGUUGGGUGGUGACCGUGACCAAGCAGGCGGUCCCACUAUCCGGCUGCCCUUUCUUGCACUUCAAAGGCUGGCUGGGUAGUGCUGUGCCCCCAGUGGGCGCAGCACACAGCAUAAUUUUUGGUAGCGGUGGGGAGAUGCGCUUCGGUGUGUC
RNAcentral lists this small nuclear RNA (161 nucleotides) under Entosiphon sulcatum. RNAcentral's name for it is "U1 snRNA". It matches the Rfam family "U1 spliceosomal RNA". Rfam says of the family: U1 is a small nuclear RNA (snRNA) component of the spliceosome (involved in pre-mRNA splicing). The record is from RNAcentral. Lineage: Eukaryota; Euglenozoa; Entosiphonea; Entosiphonida; Entosiphonidae.